This 254-nucleotide ribosomal RNA is filed under the name uncultured bacterium. Its description in RNAcentral is "partial 16S ribosomal RNA". It matches the Rfam family "Bacterial small subunit ribosomal RNA", at positions 524 to 776 of the family's 1533-position model. The record is from RNAcentral.
UACGAGGGGGGCAAAUGUUGUUCGGAAUCACUGGGCGUAAAGGGAGCGUAGGCGGGUUUCUAAGUCAGGUGUUUAAUCCCGGGGCCCAACCCCGGACAGGCACUUGAAACUGGGAAUCUUGAAUAGUGGAGAGGUCAGUGGAAUUGGGGGUGUAGCGGUGGAAUGCGCAGAUAUCAGGAGGAACACCGAUGGCGAAGGGCAGCUCGCUGGGACGGUACUGACGCUGAGGCGCGAAAGCGUGGGGAGCAAACAGG